This 440-nucleotide ribosomal RNA is filed under the name uncultured bacterium. Its description in RNAcentral is "partial 16S ribosomal RNA". It matches the Rfam family "Bacterial small subunit ribosomal RNA", at positions 338 to 795 of the family's 1533-position model. The record is from RNAcentral.
CCUACGGGUGGCAGCAGUGGGGGAUAUUGCACAAUGGGGGGAACCCUGAUGCAGCGACGCCGCGUGGGUGAAGAAGCGCCUCGGCGCGUAAAGCCCUGUCAGCAGGGAAGAAAAUGACGGUACCUGAAGAAGAAGCCCCGGCUAACUACGUGCCAGCAGCCGCGGUAAUACGUAGGGGGCAAGCGUUAGCCGGAUUUACUGGGUGUAAAGGGGGCGCAGGCGGCGGUGCAAGCCAGGGGUGAAAGCCCGGGGCCCAACCCGGGGACUGCUCUUGAAACUGCGUGACUGGAGUGCAGGAGGGGGAGGCGGAAUUCGUGGUGUAGCGGUGAAAUGCGUAGAUAUCGGGAGGAACACCGGUGGCGAAGGCGGCCUGCUGGACUGUAACUGACGCUGAGGCACGAAGGCGUGGGGAGCAAACAGGAUUAGAUACCCGAGUAGUC